RNAcentral lists this unclassified non-coding RNA (179 nucleotides) under uncultured fungus. RNAcentral describes it as "sequence contains ITS1". Lineage: Eukaryota; Fungi. The record is from RNAcentral.
UUUAGCUUUAUAAAGACUGAGACAACCACUGACAGAGUAUGGACCUUUGGCAGGGCACAGGGCCAUCACAGCCCUGACGUUGCGGCACGCCGCUCCCUGCCAAAGCAACAGAAGGGUUCACAAAGGAUAAGAGCAUCAGGAACUCUGUAAUGAUCCCUCCGCUGGUUCACCAACGGAGA